GGCCCCGUGGCCUAAUGGAUAAGGCGUCGGACUUCGGAUCCGAAGAUUGCAGGUUCGAGUCCUGCCGGGGUCG
RNAcentral lists this transfer RNA (73 nucleotides) under Angiostrongylus costaricensis. It matches the Rfam family "tRNA". Rfam says of the family: Transfer RNA (tRNA) molecules are approximately 80 nucleotides in length. Their secondary structure includes four short double-helical elements and three loops (D, anti-codon, and T loops). Further hydrogen bonds mediate the characteristic L-shaped molecular structure. tRNAs have two regions of fundamental functional importance: the anti-codon, which is responsible for specific mRNA codon recognition, and the 3' end, to which the tRNAs corresponding amino acid is attached (by aminoacyl-tRNA synthetases). tRNAs cope with the degeneracy of the genetic code in two manners: having more than one tRNA (with a specific anti-codon) for a particular amino acid; and 'wobble' base-pairing, i.e. permitting non-standard base-pairing at the 3rd anti-codon position. Lineage: Eukaryota; Metazoa; Nematoda; Chromadorea; Rhabditida; Metastrongylidae. The record is from Rfam by way of RNAcentral.